UCGUGGAGUGAUUUGUCUGCUUAAUUGCGAUAACGAACGAGACCUUAACCUGCUAAAUGGCCAGGCUAGCUUUGGCUGGUCGCCGGCUUCUUAGAGGGACUAUCGGCUCAAGCCGAUGGAAGUUUGAGGCAAUAACA
RNAcentral lists this ribosomal RNA (137 nucleotides) under uncultured eukaryote. Its description in RNAcentral is "partial 18S ribosomal RNA". It matches the Rfam family "Eukaryotic small subunit ribosomal RNA", at positions 1299 to 1458 of the family's 1831-position model. The record is from RNAcentral.